AAGUCACGACAGCAGCAAAGCUGUGACUUGGUACUUGGCUAAAGGAAAAAGGACCCUGUUCUAGAGCCAUUGACCUUGUGUCACCUUCACUUGGCCUGAGCUGAGAGUGAACCUGACUUUACCUCUACAGCACCUUUGGUAGGGCUCGCCCUCGCCUGACAUGGUAGGCAGUUCUGCAGGAGGAAGGCAGCAGCAACACACAGUAAUGGGCUGCAGAGGAAGCAGCUCCCAAGUGCAGAGACAGACCCUGUGCUACUGUGUGAGACCUGACAAGGCACUCUGGAAACACAUGGUCAGUGUUCUCUUCAUAAUUUUGAAUCAUAAACUUCUCACUGCAGACAUUUAAAAUGACAGCAACACAUUUUAAUUUAGAACUUUAAUUUUUAGAACUCAGUUUUGGAGAUAAGC
This 408-nucleotide long non-coding RNA is filed under the name Ictidomys tridecemlineatus (thirteen-lined ground squirrel). RNAcentral's name for it is "lncRNA (ENSSTOG00000031371.1)". Lineage: Eukaryota; Metazoa; Chordata; Mammalia; Rodentia; Sciuridae. The record is from RNAcentral.